This 576-nucleotide long non-coding RNA is filed under the name Linum usitatissimum (flax). Its description in RNAcentral is "long non-coding RNA (LUSI_LNC007758)". The record is from RNAcentral. Lineage: Eukaryota; Viridiplantae; Streptophyta; Magnoliopsida; Malpighiales; Linaceae.
AUGUCAUACAGUGAUUAAAAACUAUGUAUAUAAGUGACCCAUGUUUCUCUGUAAUCAAAGGAUCAUAAUAAGUUCAUAACUCAGAAACAAAAAUGGUCUCUAGGAAGUGUGCUUUAACAGUAUUCUUGAUGAUGAUGAUGAUGAUUCUAUCCCUCUUAUUCGGCCUCCUGCCGGCAACGGCUUCCAGAUACCCGCAGCCGGAGACGUCGACGACGUCGUCGUCCACAAGUAAGUUCACCGAUCGAGUAUUUUUAUUUUUAUUUCAUCAACGACGGUGAAGUCCAUGCAAAUUAAACUUGUUGUUUAUCAGACGAUCGGGCUCACGGCGGGAAUCACGGCGGGGAUCACGGCGGGAAUCACGGCCAAAAUUGAACAUCUGCUGCUAUAUCAUCACGUACGGCCACCGUUGACGUCGCCGGACUUGCUAUAAAAUGUAAUUUCAACGAUACUAUAUUGCGGGCGGUUGUAAUUUUCCCCACUUUUUUUAGCCGUUUUAUUAAAAAAUUAUAAAUAAAAACUAUUAAAUAAAUAUAUGUUGUGAAUAUUAUAAAAAAUAGAGUGUAAUUAGUAAAANNN